This 451-nucleotide ribosomal RNA is filed under the name uncultured bacterium. Its description in RNAcentral is "partial 16S ribosomal RNA". It matches the Rfam family "Bacterial small subunit ribosomal RNA", at positions 354 to 796 of the family's 1533-position model. The record is from RNAcentral.
GUGGGGAAUAUUGGACAAUGGGGGGAACCCUGAUCCAGCCAUGUCGCGUGUGUGAAGAAGGUCUUCGGAUUGUAAAGCACUUUAAGCGAGGAGGAGGCUACCGAGAUUAAUACUCUUGGAUAGUGGACGUUACUCGCAGAAUAAGCACCGGCUAACUCUGUGCCAGCAGCCGCGGUAAUACAGAGGGUGCAAGCGUUAAUCGGAUUUACUGGGCGUAAAGCGCGCGUAGGUGGCCAAUUAAGUCAAAUGUGAAAUCCCCGAGCUUAACUUGGGAAUUGCAUUCGAUACUGGUUGGCUAGAGUAUGGGAGAGGAUGGUAGAAUUCCAGGUGUAGCGGUGAAAUGCGUAGAGAUCUGGAGGAAUACCGAUGGCGAAGGCAGCCAUCUGGCCUAAUACUGACACUGAGGUGCGAAAGCAUGGGGAGCAAACAGGAUUAGAAACCCGUGUAGUCC